Molecule: small RNA, 158 nt
Filed under: Paenibacillus beijingensis
Lineage: Bacteria; Bacillati; Bacillota; Bacilli; Caryophanales; Paenibacillaceae
Description: c-di-AMP sequence
Rfam family: c-di-AMP riboswitch aptamer (ydaO/yuaA leader)
About the family: This family represents a conserved RNA structure found upstream of the ydaO and yuaA genes in Bacillus subtilis and related genes in other bacteria. The ydaO/yuaA element is thought to act as a genetic "off" switch for the ydaO and yuaA genes in its native state. It is believed that the element may be triggered during osmotic shock leading to activation of ydaO, a predicted amino acid transporter gene, and members of the yuaA-yubG operon which code for KtrA and KtrB K+ transporters.
Source: Rfam by way of RNAcentral
UUGAAACAAUCGCUGAAUUUUCCAAUAACGGGAAAACGGGGGAACCAACUGCGGUGAAGAUUUUUCAUCGCUUGGGGUGAAUCGGCACACAAUGCCGUAGGGCGAUCUAGACGCCCGAAUCCGUCAGCUAACCUCGUAAGCGUCUUUAGAGAGGGUGA